GUAGUACUCCCUCCGUUCGGAAAUACUUGUCAUCAAAACGGAUAAAAGGGGUGUAUCUAGACGCAUUUUAGUUUGAGAUACAUCUCUUUUUAUCCAUUUUGAUGACAAGUAUUUUCGGGCGGAGGGAGUACUUA
This is a non-coding RNA of Triticum aestivum (bread wheat), 134 nucleotides long. NCBI's taxonomy places the organism in Eukaryota, Viridiplantae, Streptophyta, Magnoliopsida, Poales, Poaceae. The record is from Rfam.